RNAcentral lists this long non-coding RNA (974 nucleotides) under Ictidomys tridecemlineatus (thirteen-lined ground squirrel). RNAcentral's name for it is "lncRNA (ENSSTOG00000029826.1)". Lineage: Eukaryota; Metazoa; Chordata; Mammalia; Rodentia; Sciuridae. The record is from RNAcentral.
UGCUUACAAGCCAGUCCCUGUGGCUCCAUGAGGUCACCUCCAUCUCUUCUUCAGGAAUGGCUGGCACUGAAAGCGAUUAUCUUCUCAAUCAGGGAACAACCACGGCAAAGGAAUGCAAUCCUUGUAAAGCCCAAGGGCACACAGGUUUCUCUAACCAGAAACACGCCUCACAGUGUGGGAAGGCCACCUGGGAACGUCUCCACCGCUACGGGGAAGGCGAACCAGAACACAGGAGGGGAUGCCAGUGCUCCACUGAGGGGAGAUGCCUGCCAUUUGAACUAAUGCUUUAAAAAAUCUCCUGCUGGGAAAAAAUGGGGAAAGUGCUAAUGGAUGUAAUGAACCAAGCCUCCCAGGGAAGCCGAGAAAGCCGACCCAUCAACUAACUGGAUCAUUCAGAACUAGAGCAAGGAAAUGCUUUGGCAGAGAAACAGAAAAGUGAAACAGCAAGGCCCCUGAAAUCAGAGCCUAGUGGUCAGCUCUGUAUCCCUGUUUAUCUCUAGCAUGAUUCGUCCCAAACAGAAGAUCCUGUGGGCCUGGAGGAAACCUCUGGGCAGGUGAGCAGAGCUCGCAAUCCCAGAUUGCAAUCAGGGAUGUGGGGAGAGCACAGGGCAGCUGGGUUACAUCCUCACACGGACCCCUACCUGCCUGUGUGCACAUCUGGUCAUCUCACCCUUGUCUGUGGGUCUCACCUGGUACCUGUUGCACCUCAGUCUCCUGAAUUAGUUUCCAUGGCUGCCAUGCCACACUGCCACAUACUGAGUGGCUUAAAACAAAUGCAUUUUUCUCCCUAAUACUUCAGAAGGUCAAAAGUCCAAAACGUGUCUUAGCUAGCAAAAGUCAAGGUAUUGUCAGGACUUGUCUCUUCUGGAGGCUCCAAGGGAGAAACUAUUUCCUUGUCUUUUCUGGCUCCUAGAAGAUAUUAACAGUUCUUGGCUCACAGCUCCUUUCAUCUACCUACCAGGCCAGUAGCACAG